AGAAACUUAGGAUUAAAUUAAACCAGUGACCUUCAACGUCACAAACAAGGGACUAACCCUUAGUUUCUG
This 69-nucleotide transfer RNA is filed under the name Paralaudakia caucasia (Caucasian Agama). RNAcentral's name for it is "tRNA-Trp". The record is from RNAcentral. Lineage: Eukaryota; Metazoa; Chordata; Lepidosauria; Squamata; Agamidae.